Molecule: ribosomal RNA, 358 nt
Filed under: Eukaryota sp.
Lineage: Eukaryota
Description: SSU rRNA
Rfam family: Eukaryotic small subunit ribosomal RNA
Source: RNAcentral
UUCGUUAACGAACGAGACCUCGACCUGCUAAAUAGUUCGGCGAAUUCUUCGGGAUUCGUACGUGACUUCUUAGAGGGACUAUUGGUGGUUAGCCAAUGGAAGUUCGAGGCAAUAACAGGUCUGUGAUGCCCUUAGAUGUUCUGGGCCGCACGCGCGCUACACUGACAGGUUCAUCGAGCUUACAACCUUGACUGAGAGGUCUGGGUAAUCUUUUCAACGCCUGUCGUGCUGGGGAUAGAUUAUUGUAAUUAUUAAUCUUCAACGAGGAAUUCCUAGUAAACGCAAGUCAUCAGCUUGCAUUGAUUACGUCCCUGCCCUUUGUACACACCGCCCGUCGCUAAUACCGAUUGAAUGGUUA